ACUCUCCCGAUGCCAUGCGCUCGGUCGAGAGGAGAAUGGAUCCCUCGGAUGCUAGGCGUGGAUUAGAGAUUAAAGUAGGAGUAUUCGCCCCCACUUAAUUCUUCCCUCCCCUUCGGCAUCGCGGUCCGAUAAGCCAUCAACCACAUCCAUAUAGGCACUGCACGGGGCAGUAUGCCUUCAUUU
Molecule: unclassified non-coding RNA, 183 nt
Gene: 7SK
Rfam family: 7SK RNA
About the family: 7SK was discovered as an abundant small nuclear RNA in the mid-70s but a possible function has only recently been suggested. Two independent studies have found that 7SK RNA binds the CDK9/cyclin T complex (known as elongation factor P-TEFb).
Source: Ensembl